GGGUCAGCGAGGGAAAGGAUGGGGCCCGGCUGUCAGCAGCAGAGAGGAGAGAGAGGGGAGGGACGCGAGCCGUGGGAAGCGCUGGGACGUGAUGUGGGCUGUGCUCGCGAUGCGGGAGGGGGGAGAGUCUAGGCGCGGGGCUGGCUGGGCCUCGGCCUGGUUUCCAGGGGCUCCUCCCCUUUUUCCUUUUUAUUUCUUUUUUUUCAAUUCUUUUUCCAAAGUAGUUUUUGAGCAAAGAACAAUUAAAAUAAAAAUAGAAACAUGAGCACAAAAAUACCAUGCUCCAGCAUGAAUGCACAAACAAGUUCCUAG
RNAcentral lists this long non-coding RNA (312 nucleotides) under Sorghum bicolor (sorghum). RNAcentral's name for it is "long non-coding RNA (SBIC_LNC011819)". Lineage: Eukaryota; Viridiplantae; Streptophyta; Magnoliopsida; Poales; Poaceae. The record is from RNAcentral.